RNAcentral lists this long non-coding RNA (217 nucleotides) under Elaeis guineensis (African oil palm). Its description in RNAcentral is "long non-coding RNA (EGUI_LNC038935)". Lineage: Eukaryota; Viridiplantae; Streptophyta; Magnoliopsida; Arecales; Arecaceae. The record is from RNAcentral.
UAUCGUGAGUUCUGACUAAAUGGCAGGUUAUGGAUAAAUCGUCAAACCCCAUCAUCUGUCAUAUGAUAAAUUCUAUUAACUCAAGUCCAAUUGUGAUCCUCAUAAAAAUUUUUUUUCAUCAAUCACAUUGCUGUGGCCACAGACUCUCAGACCAAGCUUCUUAAAUCUCAUAGGACUACUCUUUUCUAUCAAAAUUGAUAGAUUUUAUUUAGAUGCG